Molecule: ribosomal RNA, 402 nt
Filed under: uncultured bacterium
Lineage: Bacteria
Description: bacterial SSU rRNA
Rfam family: Bacterial small subunit ribosomal RNA
Source: RNAcentral
UGGGGAAUUUUGCGCAAUGGGGGAAACCCUGACGCAGCAACGCCGCGUGAGUGAUGAAGGCCUUCGGGUCGUAAAGCUCUGUCAGAGGGGAAGAAGUGUGAGGUGGCUAAUAUCCAUUUCACUUGACGGUACCUUCAAAGGAAGCACCGGCUAACUCCGUGCCAGCAGCCGCGGUAAUACGGAGGGUGCGAGCGUUGUUCGGAAUUAUUGGGCGUAAAGCGCGUGUAGGCGGUUUUUUAAGCUGAUGUGAAAGCCUGCAGCUUAACUGUAGAAUUGCCAUUGAUACUGUCGCUCUUGAAUGCGGUUGAGGCAGGCGGAAUGUGUAAUGUAGCGGUGAAAUGAUUAGAUAUUACACAGAACACCGAUUGCGUAGGCAGCUUGCUAAACCGUGAUUGACGCUGA